CCUACGGGAGGCAGCAGUGAGGAAUAUUGGUCAAUGGGCUUACGCCUGAACCAGCCAAGUCGCGUGAGGGAAGACUGCCCUAUGGGUUGUAAACCUCUUUUGUCAGGGAGCACUUGGCGCUACGGGUAGCGUUAUCGAGAGUACCUGAAGAAAAAGCAUCGGCUAACUCCGUGCCAGCAGCCGCGGUAAUACGGAGGAUGCGAGGUUUAUCCGGAUUGAUUGGGUUUAAAGGGUGCGUAGGCGGAAUGCCAAGUCCGCGGGAAAAUCGCGGGGCUCAACCUCGCUCCGCCGUUGAAACUAGCGGUAUGGAGUGGGCGAGAAGUAUGCGGAAUGCGUGGUGUAGCGGUGGAA
Molecule: ribosomal RNA, 351 nt
Filed under: uncultured bacterium
Lineage: Bacteria
Description: partial 16S ribosomal RNA
Rfam family: Bacterial small subunit ribosomal RNA
Source: RNAcentral